Molecule: long non-coding RNA, 348 nt
Filed under: Mytilus galloprovincialis (Mediterranean mussel)
Lineage: Eukaryota; Metazoa; Mollusca; Bivalvia; Mytilida; Mytilidae
Source: RNAcentral
ACUACAGAUGAAUUGCGAAAGAUACAAAAGGGACAUUCAAACUUUAAUAUAAAUCGAAAAUAAACUGACAACUUCAUGGCAAAAAAUAAAAAAAGACAAAUACCAUUACGACUGAUCAACACGAAUCCCAUUAAAAACCGGGUUUUAUCUGUGUUGUUCCAGAAGUAAGCAAAUCCUGCUCCAUAUGUCACACACGUCGUGCUACUUCUAUGUAAUACGAUGCCAGGUUUAAAAGAGGGACGAAAGAUACCAGAGGGAUAGUCAAACUCAUAGAUUGAAAAUAAACUGACAACACCAUGACUAAAAAUAAAAAGACAAACAGAUAAAUAAUAGUACAGAAGACAUAAC